GGCUUAGAGUUUGAUCAUGGCUCAGGAUGAACGCUAGCGACAGGCUUAACACAUGCAAGUCGAGGGGCAGCGGGGGUAGCGAUACCCGCCGGCGACCGGCGCGCGGGUGAGUAACGCGUAUGCAACUUGCCUAUCAGAGGGGGAUAACCCGGCGAAAGUCGGACUAAUACCGCAUGAAGCAGGGGCCCCGCAUGGGGAUAUUUGCUAAAGAUUCAUCGCUGAUAGAUAGGCAUGCGUUCCAUUAGGCAGUUGGCGGGGUAACGGCCCACCAAACCGACGAUGGAUAGGGGUUCUGAGAGGAAGGUCCCCCACAUUGGUACUGAGACACGGACCAAACUCCUACGGGAGGCAGCAGUGAGGAAUAUUGGUCAAUGGGCGUAAGCCUGAACCAGCCAAGUCGCGUGAGGGAUGAAGGUUCUAUGGAUCGUAAACCUCUUUUAUAAGGGAAUAAAGUGUGGGACGUGUCCUAUUUUGUAUGUACCUUAUGAAUAAGGAUCGGCUAACUCCGUGCCAGCAGCCGCGGUAAUACGGAGGAUCCGAGCGUUAUCCGGAUUUAUUGGGUUUAAAGGGUGCGUAGGCGGCCUCUUAAGUCAGCGGUGAAAGUCUGUGGCUCAACCAUAGAAUUGCCGUUGAAACUGGGGGGCUUGAGUAUGUUUGAGGCAGGCGGAAUGCGUGGUGUAGCGGUGAAAUGCUUAGAUAUCACGCAGAACCCCGAUUGCGAAGGCAGCCUGCCAAGCCAUGACUGACGCUGAUGCACGAAAGCGUGGGGAUCAAACAGGAUUAGAUACCCUGGUAGUCCACGCAGUAAACGAUGAUCACUAGCUGUUUGCGAUACAGUGUAAGCGGCACAGCGAAAGCGUUAAGUGAUCCAC
RNAcentral lists this ribosomal RNA (872 nucleotides) under uncultured bacterium. RNAcentral describes it as "bacterial SSU rRNA". It matches the Rfam family "Bacterial small subunit ribosomal RNA", at positions 1 to 872 of the family's 1533-position model. The record is from RNAcentral.